CCCCUAAUACCACUUUUUUCACCUUAGCUUUUACUCUGAGUUUACACUAUCCUUGCAAGACCCAGAUUUCCUCAGCUACUUCAACUUUUCUUUGUAUGUGCAUGC
This is a non-coding RNA of Tinamus guttatus (white-throated tinamou), 105 nucleotides long. Lineage: Eukaryota; Metazoa; Chordata; Aves; Tinamiformes; Tinamidae. The record is from RefSeq and is a predicted model, not a curated record.